Molecule: ribosomal RNA, 269 nt
Filed under: uncultured prokaryote
Description: partial 16S ribosomal RNA
Rfam family: Bacterial small subunit ribosomal RNA
Source: RNAcentral
UACGGGGGGAGCUAGCGUUGUUCGGAUUUACUGGGCGUAAAGGGCGUGUAGGCGGCCUUGCAAGUCGGGCGUGAAAUCCUCUGGCUCAACCAGAGAAUUGCUCCCGAAACUGCUAGGCUUGAGUAUAGGAGAGGAAAGCGGAAUUCCUGGUGUAGCGGUGAAAUGCGUAGAUAUCAGGAAGAACACCAGUGGCGAAGGCGGCUUUCUGGCCUAUUACUGACGCUGAUGCGCGAAAGCCGGGGGAGCGAACAGGAUUAGAUACCCCCGUA